Molecule: ribosomal RNA, 292 nt
Filed under: uncultured bacterium
Lineage: Bacteria
Description: partial 16S ribosomal RNA
Rfam family: Bacterial small subunit ribosomal RNA
Source: RNAcentral
GGAUUAGAUACCCUGGUAGUCCACGCCGUAAACGAUGUCUACUAGCAGCUCGCCUCGUUAGAGGGGUUUUGCGCAGCUAACGCGUUAAGUAGACCGCCUGGGGAGUACGGUCGCAAGAUUAAAACUCAAAUGAAUUGACGGGGGCCCGCACAAGCGGUGGAGCAUGUGGUUUAAUUCGAAGCAACGCGAAGAACCUUACCAACUCUUGACAUCCAGAGAACUCGCUAGAGAUAGCUUGGUGCCUUCGGGAACUCUGAGACAGGUGCUGCAUGGCUGUCGUCAGCUCGUGCUG